UGGGGGAUCGUCUAAUGGUAGGACGUUGCACUCUGGAUGCAAUAAUUGGGGUUCAAGUCCCUGUCCCCCAGCCA
RNAcentral lists this transfer RNA (74 nucleotides) under Patescibacteria group bacterium. RNAcentral describes it as "tRNA-Gln". It matches the Rfam family "tRNA". Rfam says of the family: Transfer RNA (tRNA) molecules are approximately 80 nucleotides in length. The record is from RNAcentral. RNAcentral also lists the same sequence under 1 other name.